GAUGAAGACCGUAGCGAAAUGCGAUACUUGGUGUGAAUUGCAGAAUCCCGUGAACCAUCGAGUCUUUGAACGCAAGUUGCGCCUCAAGCCAUUAGGUUGAGGGCACGUCUGCCUGGGCGUCACAUAUCGUUGCCUGAUGCCAGUUUCCUCGUGAUGGGUGACUGUGCAGGGCGAAUGAUGGCUUCCCGUGAGCAUUGUUGCCUCAUGGUUGGUUGAAAAUUGAGUCCUUGGUAGGGAGCGCCGUGAUAGAUGGUGGUUGAGUGACGAACGAGACCCAAUCAUGUGAGACCCCUACCGAAUUUGGCCUUCAUGACCCACAUGCGUCUUUGGAACGCUCAUGACGAGACCUCAGGUCAGGCGGGGCUACCCGCUGAGUUUAAGCAUAUCAAUAAGCGGAGGA
RNAcentral lists this unclassified non-coding RNA (400 nucleotides) under soil metagenome. RNAcentral's name for it is "partial contains 5.8S ribosomal RNA, internal transcribed spacer 2, and large subunit ribosomal RNA". The stretch from base 1 to 122 matches the Rfam family "5.8S ribosomal RNA", at positions 35 to 154 of the family's 154-position model. The record is from RNAcentral.